GACGGAAGGUGCAAGCGUUGCUCGGAAUCACUGGGCGUAAAGGGUGCGUAGGCGGCUUGGUAAGUUGGGUGUGAAAGCCCCGGGCUCAGCCCGGGAAGGGCACUCGAAACUGCCGAGCUGGAGUGCCGGAGGGGAGAGUGGAAUUCCUGGUGUAGCGGUGAAAUGCGUAGAUAUCAGGAGGAAUACCGAUGGCGAAGGCAGGUCUCUGGGCUGACACUGACGCUCAUGCACGAAAGCGUGGGGAGCAAACAGG
RNAcentral lists this ribosomal RNA (253 nucleotides) under uncultured bacterium. Its description in RNAcentral is "partial 16S ribosomal RNA". It matches the Rfam family "Bacterial small subunit ribosomal RNA", at positions 524 to 776 of the family's 1533-position model. The record is from RNAcentral.